Molecule: RNA transcript, 1891 nt
Organism: Athene cunicularia (burrowing owl)
Lineage: Eukaryota; Metazoa; Chordata; Aves; Strigiformes; Strigidae
Exons: 5
Source: RefSeq, a predicted model, not a curated record
UAGCUGCUCCGGGAAGGGCCUUUUGCUUCCCCCGGUACCGGCCGCCUUCUCCCGCUGCGGCCCCCGGAGGAGAAGCGGGGGGCGAAGGGGAUUUGUGGCCCUUUGCAGCCGGGGCCGCACCUGGCGGAGCCUCAGCGCUGCCCGGGGAGCGCUCCCUUGUUUCAGAGCUUUGGUUUUGCUUAAAGCAAGCUGCGCUUUCAAACAGCGAAUCUGUAGCUCGUCACAAGCUCCUGCAUGUACAGAAAUGACGAGAAAUGUUCCCAAAAUCUUUAAAAAUACGUACGAUGUGGUGUAGCAACUGCGACCUAGCUCAGCCCGACCAACAGAUAAAGCCUUAUUCAGAGCUAUCAUUUCCUGUGAAGAUCUACUUCUGUGUCACUAUUCUGUCUCUGCUAAGUGUAAUAGGGCUAACCAUAGAGACACUCGUUCGACAAACUGAGGAAAAUUUCACCAUUUCUCUUAUUCAGUUAGUAGGAGUUGUGUUCUGUGUAUACUAUGUGAGUAGAGGAAUCCUGCAGGAGAAUCGCCAGCAGCUCAUCGUCUUUUGUUCUUUCCAUCUUGCUAGUGAUGUUCCGUUCCAUUGUCAACUUCACAGUUCUCUCUGCUGAGCAAAAGCCAAAACUCCUGCUCUGCUUGUGUAUUCUGCUGAUAAGCCUGCAUGACAUCACCCUUCUACAUAACAUCAUCUCAGCAACAGGGGUUCUUUGGGCCUGCCUGAAGGUGACCAUUAGCAUCAUCGCAAUUUUAAAAGAGCUGAAACCUCUAGUGUGGAUUUUUCUGAGUCAGAAUGUACCUGAAGUAGUUUAUCUCAUCUACCUGCUUUACACGGUAAUUCGUCCAACUUACUUGCUCGAUACUGGGGCGCGGGGCUGGAGGCCUCCUCUUCAUUCCUGGAUCCCUGGGCCCCAAACUGGUGCCUCAUUCCUGAGCAACCCCUUUGUUGUGGCUCCCGUUGGAAUCAGUGAGAGCAGCAGGCACAUCCCACCUCUUCAGGAUUAACUUUUCAAGACAGGAACCAUGUCAAAUUGUUCUUGAACUGAUUAGUUAGGGGGAGAGGCCCUGGAAGUCUCUGCAACUGGCAAAGCCUCCAGAAUGAUUAGGGAAAGAUGCAAGAAAAUCUUCCAGUAUAAAAUACACAGUUCCUCAAAAAUGCCUCCCCCUCCUUCACAAGAAGUCUCAAGUGAUGCCAGAGCAUUUGACUAUCUGCAGGGCCUCAAGUCGUUGUAUUUUAAAGAAUUUCUUAGGCAUCACCCCCACUUGUCGAUCCCGAUGUAGCCAAAACAAGAGAUAGUGCAAACCCAACAAACUCCAGCGUCAGGCAUUUUUUUGGCACUAUAAUAGCAAUAAAUCACUUAUCACUGGGGCACCCCAGCACCUCCCACAACACGUGUGGAAGGAGGUGAGGAAGAAGAAGGGCAAGGGCAAAGCAAAUUGUUCAUCACAGGAAGGGCUCAAAUGCUGAUAGCAGCCAGCAUGUCUCAUACUUUACAUAAAUAGUCUCCAGAUACCGAUAAAAGUCCAGUGGCUGCAGCCAUCCGAGUCCUUGGGGUUCUGGUUAUUAAAGUGUGCAGUCAGAUCAGGCUCUUCCAAUUAUUCACAGGCCUCUUUGAUCUGGCAAAGCAGAGAAGGACCACACACUGUCCUUGGUGGCUGUGCCUUCCUUGUGCUGCAGUUUGGAAGAAAAGUACAGGUGGUGGCUUCCAACGCAAGAGUAACAGAACAACUUCAAAAUAGCCAGGUCUCCUGGUUUUGCCCGAUAACAAUCAACAUGCAAGAGUGACCAGCAAAUGAGGGCACAGCCAUGCAGUGCAAGACUCCUCUGUGCCAGAGAGAUCUGUAAUAGCUGUAACUUCUCCAGACCAAUCCUUUUUAGCAUCUUUUAUCUGACAGG